UCAGUGUUUCCCAUUGACGCGAUAUUGUGCACAACCAUACCGUGCGUAGUCGCGUGUGGGAAACGGUCAACUGACUAUUUCUGUAGUCUGCUGUGCCCUAUACUUGUGUGCAUAGUUGGCCGUGUACAGAUAUAGUCAUAUCGGCGGUCCAAAAGGGAUUUUGUUCACGGUCCAAAAAACUGGUAGCCGAUAUGUGUGUUAUAUUUUAACUUGAGAGUGCGGGAACCAUUGCAGUUAACUUUGGAGUUCGUGCAAGGUGUACCGGUGCUGGUGGUUCAGUGAGAGGACAAAUGUCGAGACAUGAUCGCCUGCAAGAAAUCUCUUCGCUUCCGAGUUAUGUUCAGGUUAUGAUCAAGGGCAGGAUUCCCAGCAUUUCAUGAGAGCAAAAUUCCCUGAUGUAUCCCCGAUGACACUGCAAGAUUCCAAGGUAAUCCUUUGGUCUAGUUUCAGUUUGACAUUACUUCAGACUGACCACUUUCUCAGACCUGCCAACCUCUUGAAAACUUAAAAAAUUGUAUUUUGCACAAAAUGAGCCUAGGCUUAUUCCUCCACAUGAUCGUUUUGACCACUUGCAAUGUCCUUUCCUUGAUGUGACUUUUCCCUGAUUUUUCCAGGUUUUUCCUGAUACCUAGGACGGUUGGGAACCUUGAAGAAAUACACAAAUAAAACCCUAGAAUUGAAUUCACAAAGCUUACCAAAGAAAAAGUUAACUUAAGAACAGUUACUGCAAAGAUUGGAGCAAUGUUAUGAAGACAUUUUGCAUUAAAAAUCCCAAUUUUCACUCUCAAGUAGUUUACUUGUUGAUAAGAUUUAACAGUUUAUAAAUAAAUGUUAACUAAAAUCUCUGCAUUUGAAUAGUAUUUUUGCCGAUUUUUGGUUCAUCUGUUAAUUCUGUUUUACUUUUUGCUUACAUAACAGAAUCAUCUGCAGCUAGUACAUUAUGUUUGAUAUUUUCAGUCUCAUAUCUUUGCAGACUUUGACAUUUUGGUAGUGAAAACAUUUUUCAUCACAUCAAUGGCAUGCUGUAGUUGGGUAACCUCAUACUUAUUCUUAAAAGAAAUUGUCCACAAAACUUUAAAAAUGGGAAGUAGCAAGGAUUUUCUUAUAACUUUGAACUGUUUUGCAUUACAUAGGAUAAUGUAAUUAUGAGAUAAACUGGAUCAUAGUUUGUUUUCGUGCAACCGGCUAAAUAUAUGAUGUUGACGUUAUCUUUAAUAACUUUUUUAUUUUAAUAACUUGUUAGUCAAAAAUACACUGUUGUGGUAUGUAUGCGUGAAAAAUAAGGCAAGUUCUUUUAACACUAAGCUGUUUUCACGUCAUAUUCCUGUGAUAAAAUUUCUGCACUUGGGAUAUCACACAAAGCAUAGCUGUAUCUGAAAUCGUGAGAUCAAGAAUAAAAAAUCAAGUCAGGCUUACAUGGCAGAUAAUCUUCCUGGUCUGAAAGAUUUUUGCUAGGACACCUUAAUCAAAUAAUGCCACAGAUUGAGAUUU
Acanthaster planci (crown-of-thorns starfish) is the source of this 1491-nucleotide long non-coding RNA. RefSeq lists it as uncharacterized. Lineage: Eukaryota; Metazoa; Echinodermata; Asteroidea; Valvatida; Acanthasteridae. The record is from RefSeq and is a predicted model, not a curated record.